GACGAACGCUGGCGGCGUGCUUAACACAUGCAAGUCGAAGGCUAAAGCUUGUUGCUGCCAUGGGGUGGAUGGGGGGCGAACGGGUAAUUAAUACGGGAGUAACCUGCCCUUGACGCUGGAAUAAGCGUGGGAAAUGGGGUCUAAGACUGAUUACAUCAGGUCACCUCAUGUUGUUUUGUGAAAAGGGUUUUACUGGUUUUGUAUGGUCUAACGGCCUAUUAGCUUGUUGGUGGGGUAAUGGCUCACAAAGGCGACGACGGGUAGCCGGCCUGAGAGGGUGACCGGCCACACUGGGACUGAGACACGGCCCAGACUCCUACGGGAGGCAGCAGUGGGGAAUAUUGCACAAUGGGCGGAAGACUGAUGCAGAGAAGCCGUGUGAGGGAUGACGGCCUUCGGGUUGUAAACCUCUUUCAGCACGGAAGAAGCGAAAGUGACGGUACGUGCAGAAGAAGCGCCGGCUAACUACGUG
RNAcentral lists this ribosomal RNA (472 nucleotides) under uncultured bacterium. RNAcentral describes it as "partial 16S ribosomal RNA". It matches the Rfam family "Bacterial small subunit ribosomal RNA", at positions 28 to 507 of the family's 1533-position model. The record is from RNAcentral.